GAUGAACGCUGGCGGCGUGCCUAAUACAUGCAAGUCGAGCGAACAGAUAAGGAGCUUGCUCCUUUGACGUUAGCGGCGGACGGGUGAGUAACACGUGGGUAACCUACCUAUAAGACUGGGAUAACUUCGGGAAACCGGAGCUAAUACCGGAUAAUAUUUCGAACCGCAUGGUUCGAUAGUGAAAGAUGGUUUUGCUAUCACUUAUAGAUGGACCCGCGCCGUAUUAGCUAGUUGGUAAGGUAACGGCUUACCAAGGCGACGAUACGUAGCCGACCUGAGAGGGUGAUCGGCCACACUGGAACUGAGACACGGUCCAGACUCCUACGGGAGGCAGCAGUAGGGAAUCUUCUGCAAUGGGCGAAAGCCUGACGGAGCAACGCCGCGUGAGUGAUGAAGGUCUUCGGAUCGUAAAACUCUGUUAUUAGGGAAGAACAUACGUGUAAGUAACUGUGCACGUCUUGACGGUACCUAAUCAGAAAGCCACGGCUAACUACGUG
This 497-nucleotide ribosomal RNA is filed under the name uncultured bacterium. Its description in RNAcentral is "partial 16S ribosomal RNA". It matches the Rfam family "Bacterial small subunit ribosomal RNA", at positions 28 to 507 of the family's 1533-position model. The record is from RNAcentral.